ACUUCACCCCAGUCAUGAACCACACCGUGGUCAUCGCCAUCCCAAAGGUUAAGCUAAUGACUUCUGGUGCAGCCCACUCCCAUGGUGUGACGGGCGGUGUGUACAAGGCCCGGGAACGUAUUCACCGUGGCAUUCUGAUCCACGAUUACUAGCGAUUCCAACUUCACGGAGUCGAGUUGCAGACUCCGAUCCGGACUACGACAAACUUUAUGAGAUUCGCAUACCCUCGCAGGUUAGCAACCCUUUGUAUUUGCCAUUGUAGCACGUGUGUAGCCCAUCCCGUAAGGGCCAUGAUGACUUGACGUCGUCCCCACCUUCCUCCGGUUUAUCACCGGCAGUCUCCCUAGAGUUCCCACCAUUACGUGCUGGCAACUAAGGAUAAGGGUUGCGCUCGUUGCGGGACUUAACCCAACAUUUCACAACACGAGCUGACGACAGCCAUGCAGCACCUGUCUCAGAGCUCCCGAAGGCACUCUACUAUCUCUAACAGAUUCUCUGGAUGUCAAGGGAUGGUAAGGUUCUUCGCGUUGCAUCGAAUUAAACCACAUGCUCCACCGCUUGUGCGGGCCCCCGUCAAUUCAUUUGAGUUUUAACCUUGCGGCCGGUACU
RNAcentral lists this ribosomal RNA (609 nucleotides) under Psychromonas ingrahamii. RNAcentral's name for it is "partial 16S ribosomal RNA". Lineage: Bacteria; Pseudomonadati; Pseudomonadota; Gammaproteobacteria; Alteromonadales; Psychromonadaceae. The record is from RNAcentral.